AUUGAACGCUGGCGGCAUGCCUUACACAUGCAAGUCGAACGGUAACGGGCCUUCGGGUGCCGACGAGUGGCGAACGGGUGAGUAAUACAUCGGAACGUGCCCGAUCGUGGGGGAUAACGAGGCGAAAGCUUUUCUAAUACCGCAUACGAUCUACGGAUGACAGCAGGGGACCGCAAGGCCUUGCGCGGACGGAGCGGCCGAUGGCAGAUUAGGUAGUUGGUGGGAUAAAAGCUUACCAAGCCGACGAUCUGUAGCUGGUCUGAGAGGAUGAUCAGCCACACUGGGACUGAGACACGGCCCAGACUCCUACGGGAGGCAGCAGUGGGGAAUUUUGGACAAUGGGCGCAAGCCUGAUCCAGCCAUGCCGCGUGCAGGAUGAAGGCCUUCGGGUUGUAAACUGCUUUUGUACGGAACGAAAAGCCUUCUUUUAAUACAGGAGGGUCAUGACGGUACCGUAAGAAUAAGCACCGGCUAACUACGUG
Molecule: ribosomal RNA, 482 nt
Filed under: uncultured bacterium
Lineage: Bacteria
Description: partial 16S ribosomal RNA
Rfam family: Bacterial small subunit ribosomal RNA
Source: RNAcentral